Molecule: transfer RNA, 73 nt
Filed under: Camelus bactrianus (Bactrian camel)
Lineage: Eukaryota; Metazoa; Chordata; Mammalia; Artiodactyla; Camelidae
Also listed under: 2 other names
Rfam family: tRNA
About the family: Transfer RNA (tRNA) molecules are approximately 80 nucleotides in length. Their secondary structure includes four short double-helical elements and three loops (D, anti-codon, and T loops).
Source: Rfam by way of RNAcentral
GAGCAUAUAGCUCAAGUGGUAGAGCACAUGCUUAGCAUGCAUGAGGGCCUGGGUUCAAUUCUCAGCACCUCCA